UGUGCGGGGGAAGAGAAGCGGGUCGGUACGCGCACCGUGGUGGUUGGGCACCGUCCGGUUUUGGAAACGGAUGCUUAUGUGGCACAGAAGUUCUGUGACAACAGGAUUGUCUCCUCUAAGUACACCCUCUGGAACUUCCUGCCGAAGAACCUUUUUGAGCAGUUUAGAAGAAUUGCCAACUUCUACUUCCUCAUCAUCUUCCUCGUGCAGGUGAUAGUGGACACCCCGACCAGCCCAGUGACCAGUGGCCUCCCACUCUUCUUUGUCAUCACUGUCACAGCUAUCAAACAGGGAUAUGAGGACUGGCUGAGGCACAGAGCUGACAACGAAGUGAACAAAAGUAAUGUCUUCAUUGUCGAAAAUGCAAAGCAAGUGCAGAAAGAAAGUGAAAAAAUCAAGGUUGGAGACAUAGUGGAAGUGAAAGCAGAUGAGACCUUCCCUUGUGACUUGAUAUUUUUGGCCUCGAGCAGCACUGACGGGACCUGUUACGUCACUACAGCAAGUCUCGAUGGCGAGUCCAAUUUCAAGACCCACUAUGCAGUGCGGGAUACCACUGUGCUCUGUACGAACGAAGCUAUCGACGCUCUCACCGCCACGAUUGAGUGUGAACAGCCACAG
Molecule: long non-coding RNA, 618 nt
Organism: Mesitornis unicolor (brown roatelo)
Lineage: Eukaryota; Metazoa; Chordata; Aves; Mesitornithiformes; Mesitornithidae
Exons: 6
Source: RefSeq, a predicted model, not a curated record